UCUGGAUUCUAGGGUGCAGCUGACCUCGCCAGACCAAGGUGUUUGAAGAAAAAGUGAAAAACUUCCCUUCUGAGAGACAAACACCUCAGGGGACAUGACCAUUGGACUCCUUCCAUGUCACCACAGACCGUCUUUCCAGAAGUCACUCUCCUAGUUACAAGUAUUUGCUUGGAACCCUGGAAAAGGUGGGAGCUGGCCUUUCACAGAUGGCACCUGAACAGGGACUUGGAUACAGAGGAAAUAAGCACUCCCUGGGUCCUGAAGUCUUUGAUGAGGAGGGAAGGGAAGACAAUUUUCCGACCUAAUGUUGUAUGUUAUGUUGCCAGCUGUCCUAGCAUCUUAGAGGUAAGUCAGCAAAUUUUUCACGUAUGCUGGCAGGU
Molecule: non-coding RNA, 380 nt
Organism: Peromyscus maniculatus bairdii (prairie deer mouse)
Lineage: Eukaryota; Metazoa; Chordata; Mammalia; Rodentia; Cricetidae
Source: RefSeq, a predicted model, not a curated record